RNAcentral lists this ribosomal RNA (253 nucleotides) under uncultured bacterium. Its description in RNAcentral is "partial 16S ribosomal RNA". It matches the Rfam family "Bacterial small subunit ribosomal RNA", at positions 524 to 776 of the family's 1533-position model. The record is from RNAcentral.
UACGGAGGGUGCGAGCGUUGUCCGGAAUCACUGGGCGUAAAGGGCGCGUAGGCGGCCUGAUAAGUAGGGGGUGAAAUCCUGCGGCUUAACCGCAGGGCUGCCUUCUAAACUGUCAGGCUCGAGCACAGUAGAGGCAGGUGGAAUUCCCGGUGUAGCGGUGGAAUGCGUAGAGAUCGGGAGGAACACCGAUGGCGAAGGCAGGUCUCUGGGCAUUAACUGACGCUGAGGAGCGAAAGCAUGGGGAGCGAACAGG